RNAcentral lists this ribosomal RNA (429 nucleotides) under uncultured bacterium. RNAcentral describes it as "bacterial SSU rRNA". It matches the Rfam family "Bacterial small subunit ribosomal RNA", at positions 355 to 776 of the family's 1533-position model. The record is from RNAcentral.
UGGGGAAUAUUGGACAAUGGGCGCAAGCCUGAUCCAGCCAUGCCGCGUGUGUGAAGAAGGCCUUCGGGUUGUAAAGCACUUUAAGCGGGGAGGAAGGUUCGCUACUUAAUACGUAGCGGAAUUGACGUUACCCGCAGAAUAAGCACCGGCUAACUCUGUGCCAGCAGCCGCGGUAAUACAGAGGGUGCAAGCGUUAAUCGGAAUUACUGGGCGUAAAGCGCGCGUAGGCGGUUGUGUAAGUUGGAUGUGAAAUCCCCGGGCUUAACCUGGGAAUGGCAUUCAAAACUGCACGGCUAGAGUGUGGGAGAGGAAGGUAGAAUUCCAGGUGUAGCGGUGAAAUGCGUAGAGAUCUGGAGGAAUACCGAUGGCGAAGGCAGCCUUCUGGCCUAACACUGACGCUGAGGUGCGAAAGCAUGGGGAGCAAACAGG